UGGGGAAUAUUGGACAAUGGGCGCAAGCCUGAUCCAGCAAUGCCGCGUGUGUGAAGAAGGCCUGCGGGUUGUAAAGCACUUUCAGUGGGGAAGAAAAGCCUGGGGUGAAUACCCUCGGGUCUUGACGUUACCC
Molecule: ribosomal RNA, 133 nt
Filed under: uncultured bacterium
Lineage: Bacteria
Description: partial 16S ribosomal RNA
Rfam family: Bacterial small subunit ribosomal RNA
Source: RNAcentral